CACGUAUUUAGCCGUUCCUUUCUGGUAAGCUACCGUCACACAUUGAACAGUUACUCUCAAUGUCAUUCUUCUCUUACAACAGUGUUUUACGAGCCGAAACCCUUCAUCACACACGCGGCGUUGCUCCAUCAGGCUUUCGCCCAUUGUGGAAGAUUCCCUACUGCUGCCUCCCGUAGGAGUAUGGGCCGUGUCUCAGUCCCAUUGUGGCCGAUCAGUCUCUCAACUCGGCUAUGCAUCAUCGUCUUGGUGAGCCAUUACCUCACCAACUAACUAAUGCACCGCGGGACCAUCUCUUAGUGAUAGCAGAACCAUCUUUAAGUAGCAACCAUGCGGUUGCUAUUGUUAUACGGUAUUAGCAUCUGUUCCAAAUUGUUAUCCCCUGCUAAGAGGUAGUUUCCCAGUGUUACUCACCCGUUCGCCACUCUUGCAAUGUCCAUCGCUAUAUCUGAGCAAGCUCUACAAAUCAGCUAGAACCAACG
This 479-nucleotide ribosomal RNA is filed under the name uncultured Weissella sp. RNAcentral's name for it is "partial 16S ribosomal RNA". The record is from RNAcentral. Lineage: Bacteria; Bacillati; Bacillota; Bacilli; Lactobacillales; Lactobacillaceae.